GUGGUUUUCAGAUUUCUGGGGCAGGAAAUAGAGGGGGGUCUUAGGAUCAGUUUCAUUUCUGGAAGAAGAGCUCCUGGAGGGAGUACAGAAAGGAAUGAGGGGAGGAGGGAAGGAAUGAACGAAGGAAGGGAGCAAGGGAGGGAAACCCUGAUUCUAAGUGUCAGGCACAACCCUAGAAGCACAUAGCCAUCAUAUUCAAGUCUUCAUCACCAUCAGCUGUAACCCAGUGAGUUAUCAAAGCUUAUUUCUAUGUUACAGAGAAGGAAAGAGGCUGGCAGAUCCAGAGUGGGAGCUUACAACCACAUCCUUGGGUAGGCUAGGUGGCUGGGUGGUGUAAGGAUUGGGAGUUUCCCCUGACCCACCAGUUUUGCUGAUGCCGAAAGCCCUCAAGCAUGGCACAAAGGCCUUCCCUUGACAAGCAGUGAGAAAGAUGGAAAGGCAGACACUCUUCUAAGAGCUUUACAUACGUGAAGGCACUUAAUCUUCAAACGACUUUAUCAGGAGGUUCCAGGGAAUGAAUCCGUUGCCACUUUCUGGGCAGCCAGAGCUACCUCCUAUCAGCUGUGAGACAGCAAACCAGAGCCAGGAGCCUGGAUUACCGACUGCUUCCCAGAAAUGCAUACUCUGUCAGAUCCCAAGGGGCCCAUUUACAAUUGAUGACAAGAAGUCGGAGGGCAUGGCUUGCCAAGUGAUGCCACGUCCGCACCUGGGAUCCAAACCGGCGAACCCCGGGGCGCCAAAGCAGAUUGUGCACACUUAACCGCUGUGCCACCAGGCCGGCCCCUGGACUGGCCACCUUUUGAGUGCUCAACAGCCGUAUGUGUUUAGUGGCUACCGUGUUGGAUUGUGUAGAUGAAGAGACUGCAUUUGAGAGGAACAAGAAUGGCAAAGCUGUUGCAGUUGACCUGGAAGAGUACAGCGGCCUGGGAAUAGUGACAAAAGGACAGAUUUCAGAGAUGUGAUUCCCAGGUUGUCAU
RNAcentral lists this long non-coding RNA (977 nucleotides) under Equus asinus (donkey). RNAcentral's name for it is "lncRNA (ENSEASG00005027294.1)". Lineage: Eukaryota; Metazoa; Chordata; Mammalia; Perissodactyla; Equidae. The record is from RNAcentral.